Molecule: long non-coding RNA, 633 nt
Organism: Mauremys reevesii (Reeves's turtle)
Lineage: Eukaryota; Metazoa; Chordata; Testudines; Geoemydidae
Exons: 3
Source: RefSeq, a predicted model, not a curated record
GGACGGACGCUCCUGGUUGGGCUCCCGCUGGACCGAGCCUGCCCCGAGCCCGGUACCCUGAGGUGGACGGGCCGAGCCUGCCCCGAGCCCGAGACCCCGAGGAGCAGCCCAACCUAGACCGUCUUCAGCCCGCCGAGGAGCCCAUGGUCCAAAAGGAAGUUCCUUGGAACCAACUCCAGGACACAGCCCCAAGAUCAGAGCAGCCAGACCUCAACGCUCUGCUAAUGACACCGUGCAGAAGCUGGAGUCCCCCAGAUGACCUGAUCCUGACUGGCCAGCAAGAAAAGUUCACCUGUCUUAUUGGGAGUGCUUGUUGUCACUCUGUGUGUCUGAGGUGUUUACUCGGAUUAAUUAGUGGUUCUGGGGGAGACAGAAGAGAAACGAAGGCAAAGAGAGAUGUCUGCCUAGAAAAAAGACUGGGAUUUUCUGCUCGGUGGGUUUGGAGCAUGCAAGAUAAUACUUUAUUAUAGGUAAUAUGCUAUGUAAAAAUUCUUAUAUAGACUUAUAAAUCACAUAUCAUAUGCAUAAUACAUUGUAUUUUUAUAGUAUGAGAAAGAAAAAUCCCAACAAUUCAUUGUUUCAUAGAGAAAAUUAAAUUGGAAUAAACAUUUGCAAAUAUAUUUUAUAUAUAGU